GCACCUGCCGAUCUACUCCCCGGCGAGACGAGCGCCCCGGCGCGCCCCCAGGGAAUGCGGAGCGAUGAGGCGGCGCUCAGGCACUGACGUCGCCGGCCUGCGCAAGCUGCGCGGCGACCGAACCUGCCACCGCAAGCACGUUGAGGACGGGUAGACCCAUCCAUCCAUCCAUCCUUCCUUCCAUCUUCUAGUCGUCAUCGUCGUAGGGUAGUUUGCAGAUAGCUAGCUCGGUCGUUUCUAGUAAGGGAUCGAUCCAUCGAUCGAUCAGGCGGCAUGGGUGAGGGGGAGGCGGCGGAGGUGAAGGGCGGGGUGCUGCAGGGCCGCUACGAGCUGGGCCGCGUGCUGGGGCACGGCAACUUCGGGCGCGUCCACGCGGCGCGGGACCUGCGCACAGGGCGCGGCGUGGCGGUCAAGGUGCUCGUCAAGGACAAGGUGCUGCGCGCGGGCAUGAUGGAGCAGAUCAAGCGCGAGAUCGCCGUCAUGAAGCGCGUGUCCCACCCCAACAUCGUGGAGCUCCACGAGGUGAUGGCCACGCGCUCCAAGAUCUACCUCGCGCUCGAGCUCGUCCGCGGCGGGGAGCUCUUCGCGCGGAUCGUGCGCGCCGGCCGGGUCAAGGAGGACGUCGCGAGGCGCUACUUCCGCCAGCUCAUCUCCGCCGUCGACUUCUGCCACGCGCGCGGCGUGUACCACCGCGACCUCAAGCCGGAGAACCUCCUCAUCGACGAAGCGGGGAACCUCAAGGUCGUCGACUUCGGCCUCAGCGCGCUCGCCGACCACGCGCGCAGCGAUGGAUUGCUGCACACGCUCUGCGGGACGCCGGGGUACGUCGCGCCGGAGGUGUUCCGGAACAAGGGCUACG
RNAcentral lists this long non-coding RNA (859 nucleotides) under Sorghum bicolor (sorghum). RNAcentral describes it as "long non-coding RNA (SBIC_LNC013211)". Lineage: Eukaryota; Viridiplantae; Streptophyta; Magnoliopsida; Poales; Poaceae. The record is from RNAcentral.